Molecule: transfer RNA, 66 nt
Filed under: Vargula hilgendorfii (sea firefly)
Lineage: Eukaryota; Metazoa; Arthropoda; Ostracoda; Myodocopida; Cypridinidae
Description: tRNA-Leu
Source: RNAcentral
GCUAGUUGAGCAUGAGAAGUGUGUUAGAUUUAGGAUUUAAAGGUUGUAAUUAUAUUAUAACUAGUA